CCUAACACAUGCAAGUCGAACGAGCGAGAGAGAGCUUGCUUUCUCGAGCGAGUGGCGAACGGGUGAGUAACGCGUGAGGAACCUGCCUCAAAGAGGGGGACAACAGUUGGAAACGACUGCUAAUACCGCAUAAGCCCACGGUGCCGCAUGGUACAGAGGGAAAAGGAGCAAUCCGCUUUGAGAUGGCCUCGCGUCCGAUUAGCUAGUUGGUGAGGUAACGGCCCACCAAGGCGACGAUCGGUAGCCGGACUGAGAGGUUGAACGGCCACAUUGGGACUGAGACACGGCCCAGACUCCUACGGGAGGCAGCAGUGGGGAAUAUUGCACAAUGGGGGAAACCCUGAUGCAGCGACGCCGCGUGGAGGAAGAAGGUCUUCGGAUUGUAAACUCCUGUUGUUGGGGAAGAUAAUGACGGUACCCAACAAGGAAGUGACGGCUAACUACGUGCCAGCAGCCGCGGUAAAACGUAGGUCACAAGCGUUGUCCGGAAUUACUGGGUGUAAAGGGAGCGCAGGCGGGAAGACAAGUUGGAAGUGAAAUCUAUGGGCUCAACCCAUAAACUGCUUUCAAAACUGUUUUUCUUGAGUAGUGCAGAGGUAGGCGGAAUUCCCGGUGUAGCGGUGGAAUGCGUAGAUAUCGGGAGGAACACCAGUGGCGAAGGCG
Molecule: ribosomal RNA, 663 nt
Filed under: uncultured Lachnospiraceae bacterium
Lineage: Bacteria; Bacillati; Bacillota; Clostridia; Lachnospirales; Lachnospiraceae
Description: bacterial SSU rRNA
Rfam family: Bacterial small subunit ribosomal RNA
Source: RNAcentral